RNAcentral lists this ribosomal RNA (440 nucleotides) under uncultured bacterium. RNAcentral describes it as "partial 16S ribosomal RNA". It matches the Rfam family "Bacterial small subunit ribosomal RNA", at positions 338 to 795 of the family's 1533-position model. The record is from RNAcentral.
CCUACGGGAGGCAGCAGUGGGGAAUAUUGCACAAUGGGGGAAACCCUGAUGCAGCGACGCCGCGUGAGUGAAGAAGUAAUUCGUUACGUAAAGCUCUAUCAGCAGGGAAGAAAAUGACGGUACCUGACUAAGAAGCCCCGGCUAACUACGUGCCAGCAGCCGCGGUAAUACGUAGGGGGCAAGCGUUAUCCGGAUUUACUGGGUGGAAAGGGAGCGUAGACGGCAGCACAAGUCUGGAGUGAAAUCCCGGGGCUUAACCCCGGAACUGCUUUGGAAACUGUGCGGCUGGAGUGCAGGAGGGGUAAGCGGAAUUCCUAGUGUAGCGGUGAAAUGCGUAGAUAUUAGGAGGAACACCGGUGGCGAAGGCGGCUUACUGGACUGUAACUGACGUUGAGGCUCGAAAGCGUGGGGAGCAAACAGGAUUAGAUACCCUGGUAGUC